AAACCAACCAUAGGCAGGAAGGACUGGAAAUCAUGUGUGAGAGCUUUCCUAUGCAAGUUCUGCCCCGUUCUGCAGAUUAAAGUAGCUACAGAACAGAUCUUCAGCUGGCUAAAGUAUGCUUAUCUUCCUUUCUUCGUGGGGAUGUUUGCCAUCUUGCCCCAUCUCUGGUUUAACCCUAUAAACGUCAAAAGGAUCGGCUUCUGUAGCUGCGCCAAGAAGUAUUUGAUGACCUUCCCAUCCUCGCAGGUUUCCCAGCAUGCAGUAGAAGACCAUCAGCUACAAAACUCUGCUUCCCAUGUAACGCGUUUUAUGUGUUUUGACUACUGCAAAACUGACAUCUUGCCUGGGGAUGGGGAAGUCAAGCUGAACAGGCAGAGGGCACGGGGGAACCAGCCUGGACAAGUGAUACAGAUGUGGCAAAUAUGGCCUGUGAGUACUGGACUGCAAAAAAAGGAUCGAGAAGCAUGCUUAUUCUCCUGUCUCCAGGCACAGCAGUGGGCAGGAGCCUGGGAUCCCUUAUUCUAAGGUUCGGUAGAGGUACGUAUCCCUUGAAGAAAUAAGGUUGCUGGCAGUGUAGCACGGGUUGGGCAGCAGGCAGGAGCGCUGCCAGAAUUCACCGUUCUGGUCCUCACCAUCGGUUCUGUCACAGUCCUUCGCCUGGUGUCAGUACUUCAUGAAAGAGGGCUCGUCCUCCUUCCCAGGGUGUCUACGAGAGCUAGGAGCAAAGACGCAACUCCCCAAACUUCAGGAACUUCAAUGAGAUCAAGGAACAGCCUGAACAGUAAAUCUAGCAAGUCCAAACAUCGUGGGUAUCUCACUACCAAGCCAUUCCCACAAGCCUAUCAGUUCACAUAACUUUUAAUUGCCACAGUACGAACAUCCUUCUACACAACUUAAUGAAUCAAGGAAUUUUUUUUUCCUCAUUUACAACUUUUAAAAGAUCAUUUAAUUUUGAAAAAGCUUGAUUUUUUUUAAAGUUCUGGCAAAUUAAGAAUAAAAUUGGUUACUGAAAGUCA
RNAcentral lists this long non-coding RNA (1016 nucleotides) under Struthio camelus australis. RNAcentral's name for it is "lncRNA (ENSSCUG00000006626.1)". The record is from RNAcentral. Lineage: Eukaryota; Metazoa; Chordata; Aves; Struthioniformes; Struthionidae.